AGGGCGCAGGGCGAAUGCCUUGGCACUGGGAGCCGAUGAAAGACGUGAUAAGCUGCGAUAAGCUUCGGGGAGCUGCAAAUAAGCAUUGAUCCGGAGAUUUCUGAAUGAGGAAACUCACCUGGGUUCAUACUCAGGUACGUUAUACUGAACUUAAAAAUAGGUAUAUCGAGGGAACCGCCUGAACUGAAACAUCUAAGUAGGGCGAGGAAGAGACAUCAAACGAGAUUCCGUAAGUAGUGGCGAGCGAACGCGGAAGAGGGCAAACCGGGAGUAGAAAUACUUCCGGGGUACGGAGCGCAUUUAAGACUUAAGUUGUUAACCGAACGGCAUGGGAAGGCCGGUCAGAGAGUGUGAGAACCACGUAGGUGAAAACGGAGAGAGCUGCGCAGGAUCCAGAGUACGGCCAGACACGUGAAACCUGGUCGGAAUACGGGGGGACCACCCUCCAACCCUAAAUACUACCCAGUGACCGAUAGCGUAUAGUACUGUGAAGGAAAGGUGAAAAGCACCCCGGGAGGGGAGUGAAAAAGAACCUGAAACCCUGUGCCUACAAGCACCUAGAGCACGUCAAUGUGUGAUAGGGUACUUUUUGUAGAACGGUCCGGCGAGCGAUUGUAUGCAGCAAGGUUAAGGACUUAAGGUCUGGAGCCGAAGCGAAAGCGAGUUUGAAAAGGGCGUUAAGUUGCAUAUAAUGGGCCCGAAACCGGGUGACCUACCCAUGGUCAGGUUGAAGUGGAAGUAAAAUUCCAUGGAGGACCGAACCGACCUCCGUUGAAAAGGCGGCGGAUGAACUGUGGGUAGCGGAGAAAUUCCAAUCGAACCCGGAGAUAGCUGGUUCUCCCCGAAAUAGUUUUAGGACUAGCCUCAAGUUAGAUACCUGGAGGUAAAGCACUGAAUAGCCUAGCGGCCGAGAGGUUAGCGAAGCUUAUCAAACUCAGAAUGCCAGAGUAUUGAUGCUUGGGAGUCAGACAGUGUCAGAUAAAUGUCAUUGUCAAAAGGGAAACAGCCCAGAUCUACAGCUAAGGUCCCAAAGUCAGGUUAAGUGGAAAACGAUGUGAAGAUACGCAGACAACCAGGAUGUUGGCUCAGAAGCAGCCACUCAUUCAAAGAGUGCGUAAUAGCUCACUGGUCGAGCGUCUUUGCGCGGAGAAUUUAACGGGGCUAAACCUGACACCGAAGCUUAGGCAAUACAGCAAUGUAUUGGGUAGGGGAGCGUUGUAUACGCGGUGAAACAGUAGCGCAAGCGGCUGUGGAGUGUAUAGAAGUGAGAAUGCCGGAAUGAGUAGCGCGAAUGCAGUGAGAAUCUGCAUGGCCGAAAGCCUCAGGUUUCUGGAGGAAGGUUCGUCCGCUCCAGGUUAGUCGGGAGCUAAGGUGAGGCCUAACGGCGUAGCCGAUGCACAGACGGUAGAGAUUCCGUCACCACCAAAAGAGUUAAACACAGGGACACAUUUGAAGUCUCGGAGCCGGGUGUUGGUUCCGGUAGCGAUCGAGGGAAAUUAGUACCGAAGUCCGGGAUGGAAGAUGGCGAGAAAAGCUGUGUGUAUUUCUGCGGUGCCCGUACCGCAAACCGACACAGGUAGGUAGGAAGAAGAUUCUAAGGCCAACGGGAGAAGGGUUGUUAAGGAACUCGGCAAAUUGACCCCGUAACUUCGGGAGAAGGGGUGCUCCAGAGAUGGAGCCGCAGAGAAUCGGCCCAAGCAACUGUUUACCAAAAACACAGGUUUGUGCUAAAUCGAAAGAUGACGUAUACGAGCUGACGCCUGCCCGGUGCUGGAAGGUUAAGAGGAGAUGUGCAAGCAUUGAAUCGAAGCCCCAGUGAACGGCGGCCGUAACUAUAACGGUCCUAAGGUAGCGAAAUUCCUUGUCAGGUAAGUUCUGACCCGCAUGAAAGGCGUAAUGAUUUGGGCACUGUCUCAACAGCCCGCCCGGCGAAAUUGUAGUACCGGUGAAGAUGCCGGUUACCCGCGACAAGACGGAAAGACCCCAUGGAGCUUUACUGUAGCCUAAUAUUGGGUUUCGAUGUUGCAUGCACAGGAUAGAUGGGACACAGGGAAACAAGUGCUUUGGCAUUUGUGGAGUGGCCGUUGGGAUACCAUCCUUGCGAUAUUGGAAUUCUAACCUGCGCCUUUGAAUCAAGGCGGGGGACAUUGUUAGGUGGGCAGUUUGACUGGGGCGGUCGCCUCCUAAAGA
Molecule: ribosomal RNA, 2190 nt
Filed under: human metagenome
Description: bacterial LSU rRNA
Rfam family: Bacterial large subunit ribosomal RNA
Source: RNAcentral